Molecule: ribosomal RNA, 379 nt
Filed under: marine psychrophile IC054
Lineage: Bacteria; Pseudomonadati; Bacteroidota
Description: bacterial SSU rRNA
Rfam family: Bacterial small subunit ribosomal RNA
Source: RNAcentral
AGAGUUUGAUCCUGGCUCAGGAUGAACGCUAGCGGCAGGCUUAACACAUGCAAGUCGAGGGGUAACAGGGAGCUUGCUCCGCUGACGACCGGCGCACGGGUGCGUAACGCGUAUAGAACCUACCUUUUACAGGGGGAUAGCCUUUAGAAAUGAAGAUUAACRUCCCAUAGUAUUGCGAGAUGGCAUCAUUUUGUAAUUAAAGAUUUAUCGGUAAAAGAUGGCUAUGCGUCCUAUUAGUUAGUUGGUAAGGUAACGGCUUACCAAGACAUCGAUAGGUAGGGUUCCUGAGAGGGAGAUCCCCCACACUGGUAAUGAGACACGGACCAGAAUCCUACGGGAGGCAGCAGUAAGGAAUAUUGGGCAAUGGAGGAGACUCUGA